AUACGGAGGGUGCAAGCGUUAUCCGGAAUCAUUGGGUUUAAAGGGUCCGCAGGCGGAUUAAUAAGUCAGUGGUGAAAUCCUCUCGCUCAACGAGAGAACUGCCAUUGAAACUGUUAGUCUUGAAUUCGGUCGAAGUAGGCGGAAUGUGUCAUGUAGCGGUGAAAUGCAUAGAUAUGUCACAGAACACCGAUAGCGAAGGCAGCUUACUAGACCUGGAUUGACGCUCAUGGACGAAAGCGUGGGGAGCGAACAGGAUUAGAAACCCGUGUAGUCC
Molecule: ribosomal RNA, 274 nt
Filed under: uncultured bacterium
Lineage: Bacteria
Description: partial 16S ribosomal RNA
Rfam family: Bacterial small subunit ribosomal RNA
Source: RNAcentral